GUCGAAGUGGCGGAAUCGGCAGACGCGCACGUUUGAGGGGCGUGUGGGUAACACCGUGAGGGUUCAAGUCCCUCCUUCGACA
Molecule: transfer RNA, 82 nt
Filed under: Desulforamulus ruminis DSM 2154
Lineage: Bacteria; Bacillati; Bacillota; Clostridia; Eubacteriales; Peptococcaceae
Description: Desulfotomaculum ruminis DSM 2154 tRNA
Rfam family: tRNA
About the family: Transfer RNA (tRNA) molecules are approximately 80 nucleotides in length. Their secondary structure includes four short double-helical elements and three loops (D, anti-codon, and T loops). Further hydrogen bonds mediate the characteristic L-shaped molecular structure. tRNAs have two regions of fundamental functional importance: the anti-codon, which is responsible for specific mRNA codon recognition, and the 3' end, to which the tRNAs corresponding amino acid is attached (by aminoacyl-tRNA synthetases). tRNAs cope with the degeneracy of the genetic code in two manners: having more than one tRNA (with a specific anti-codon) for a particular amino acid; and 'wobble' base-pairing, i.e. permitting non-standard base-pairing at the 3rd anti-codon position.
Source: Rfam by way of RNAcentral